CAGCCGCCGCGGUAGUACGAAGGGUGCAAGCGUUACUCGGAAUUACUGGGCGUAAAGCGUGCGUAGGUGGUGGUUUAAGUCCGUUGUGAAAGCCCUGGGCUCAACCUGGGAAUUGCAGUGGAUACUGGGUCACUAGGGUGUGGUAGAGGAUAGUGGAAUUUCCGGUGUAGCAGUGAAAUGCGUAGAGAUCGGAAGGAACAUCUGUGGCGAAGGCGACUAUCUGGGCCAACACUGACGCUGAGGCACGAAAGCGUGGGGAGCAAACAGGAUUAGAGACCCGCGUAGUCCCUGUCUCUUAUAC
RNAcentral lists this ribosomal RNA (301 nucleotides) under uncultured bacterium. RNAcentral's name for it is "partial 16S ribosomal RNA". It matches the Rfam family "Bacterial small subunit ribosomal RNA", at positions 509 to 807 of the family's 1533-position model. The record is from RNAcentral.